Durio zibethinus is the source of this 2188-nucleotide long non-coding RNA. RefSeq lists it as uncharacterized. Lineage: Eukaryota; Viridiplantae; Streptophyta; Magnoliopsida; Malvales; Malvaceae. The record is from RefSeq and is a predicted model, not a curated record.
GAGCACCAUACGUUUCCUCAAACGAUGUCGCAUUUGGCAAACUCAUUCCUCCCCAAAUACACGAAAAUCUCUCCUGCUCUUGCUGGUCAGUGAAUUGAGGAGAUCUAUUUAGCUCCGAAAAAUCAAACCUAAAAUUCUCCCAUAACCUUCUUCAAGAUGAAGAUUCUCUUCCCGUCAACUCCUAUCGCAAAUGCACCUCUAAUGAUUCACGACCGAUCACGAAAUUAGUUUCAAUCUUUCAGAAGACGAAAUGGGGCUUUUAGGUUCUGUUUUUCUUAUAUUGCACACAAAGGCAUGGCUAAGGGAAAGCUUAUUGCUGUCUGUCAGUCAGAUGGAAAGUUUACAUCUAAGUGAUGAUUCCUUGUCAUAUACGGGCGGUGAUGCUCAUGGCCUCGUGCAAUUAGCAUAAACACUGAAAGCAAUUUUGGUGAGCUAAAAACAGAAGUAGCAGGGAUGUGGAAGUAUGAUCCUGAUUCCUUAACCAUUAAAAUUUUCCUACCACACAACAUGAAGACGCUUAUCACGAUUUCUAAUCAUGGACCUGCAACAACAAUUGCUGGAUUUUCAUGGAAGCUCUGCAACCCUGGAUGUUUAUGACUUAACUAACGAGAAUCUACCAAAUUAUGUAUCGUUCUGACUAGAUCCCUCCUCCCAGAUCGCCUCCCUAAGAUAAUUUCAGCAGGAAAAAGAAAAAAAAAACUGUAAAAUUACCAAAACUUGUACGAAUUCCAGAUAUUCUUUUAGUUAACCAAUCAUACAAUGUGCAUCUAACUUUCGUAGAACGAUUGCGGACUUUUCUUAUUUUGGUUGGUUUGGUGGUUAAGGUUGCUCAGCCUCAUUUUAGUUAUUUUCAAUUUCUUAGAUCGAAAGCCAACAUUUCAACUGAUAUUCACGACCCACUCUCUCUUUCCAAGUUUUGAAAACCAAGACCUCAAUCUCUUUUGCUGAAAUAAACCAAUACUUCCUGCUUUCAAUAGAUAUCUGUUGCAUUGCUACAUCUGCCUGAAAGAGAAAGUAGUAGAAUACAAAUUUCUUCUUCCAGAAGCAACCAUACUUGAUCGACUUUCAUCUUUAAUAUAUACGAUUAGAAAUCCGCAACAUUGUAACCUGAACCCGUUCAUUCAAAGAUUCUCAUGUACAUGCUGUCUAUGGCAUCAUUCAAUUCCUUUUUUUUUUUUUUGGGCCAGAAGCAUCAUUCAAAUCUCUCUAAACAAAAGUAAUUUUUUAAUUUUUUGUUAAAGCAUCCAUAUCAAUGGAGAAUAUGAGAGUACUACCACAUGAAGUGUAGUACAUAUUCGUCCUACGAGAAAUACUCACAAACUUGUAUUUUCAGCUGACACUCAAAGUUGCAAGUACAGAAUCUGUUUAGUACAUGUUGUACCGUAAUUGUGUUGGUUCUGUAGCAUAAAUAGCUCAGACGACAGCACAAACCCAAACCAAGUUCCUGGGUUUGCUGAAAAGUGCAUUAUGGCUUAUGAGUUUGUCAAGAAGUAUAGGAACCUGAGGCCUGAGGUCGUUGUUCAAGUGCCAGGUUUCUUUUGGGCUUGACAGAUACAUACACCGAGACAACGUGAGGUUCUCCACCAGUAGUGUGCAAGAAAUCAAAUGCUGGCAACCUUAACUAAAAAAAAUAGAUUCAGAUUCAUGACAGCCACGGAAGCUAAGAUAAAUGUGGUGACUUUUGGCCCUACGGCCACAGCUCUUUUUCUCCCUUUUUGUACAUUCUCUUUUGUUUUGUUGAAGAUAAACUAUUCUUUCAAUCCAAGUGAAGCUACUUUAUAAAUCCGUUGACAUGGCAUGAGAUCACUGGCAGUGGUAUAGAUAUGAAUGUGAGUGCAUUGUUUUGUGAUGCGAGUAAAUGACCAUGGAACUAGCAUCAGCAUAUUUUUCCUAUAUAGUAUUUCCUCUUGCUUCAUAUGCUGUGGACUAAUCAUAUCAUUAUACUUGAGAGAUGAAAUUUCUCUCGAUAUUGUAGAUUUUAAGUUGAUAAUAGCAGGCUAUUCUUAAUUCCAUGUAGAAAACAAUGACCUGACAACCAGUUUUUUUCACUGUUCUUUCAAUUAGCUAAGCACUUAUUCUCUGUUGAUUCCUGUUUCACGUGUAGUUAACAUAAUGGAAAUGGAAUAAAACGAGCAUUAACAAUCACUAGCAUAAUUCGUAAUAGUUAUUGACAGAAUCAGGUGAGCAG